AGUGAACGCUGACGGUAGGCCUAACACAUGCAAGUCGAACGGCAGCACAGUAAGAGCUUGCUCUUACGGGUGGCGAGUGGCGGACGGGUGAGGAAUACAUCGGAAUCUACUUUUUCGUGGGGGAUAACGUAGGGAAACUUACGCUAAUACCGCAUACGACCUACGGGUGAAAGCAGGGGAUCUUCGGACCUUGCGCGACUGAAUGAGCCGAUGUCGGAUUAGCUAGUUGGCGGGGUAAAGGCCCACCAAGGCGACGAUCCGUAGCUGGUCUGAGAGGAUGAUCAGCCACACUGGAACUGAGACACGGUCCAGACUCCUACGGGAGGCAGCAGUGGGGAAUAUUGGACAAUGGGCGCAAGCCUGAUCCAGCCAUACCGCGUGGGUGAAGAAGGCCUUCGGGUUGUAAAGCCCUUUUGUUGGGAAAGAAAAGCAGCAGGUUAAUACCCCGCUGUUCUGACGGUACCCAAAGAAUAAGCACCGGCUAACUUCGUG
Molecule: ribosomal RNA, 492 nt
Filed under: uncultured bacterium
Lineage: Bacteria
Description: partial 16S ribosomal RNA
Rfam family: Bacterial small subunit ribosomal RNA
Source: RNAcentral